RNAcentral lists this ribosomal RNA (493 nucleotides) under uncultured bacterium. RNAcentral describes it as "partial 16S ribosomal RNA". It matches the Rfam family "Bacterial small subunit ribosomal RNA", at positions 29 to 523 of the family's 1533-position model. The record is from RNAcentral.
AUUGAACGCUGGCGGCAUGCUUUACACAUGCAAGUCGAACGGUAACAGGUUAAGCUGACGAGUGGCGAACGGGUGAGUAAUGCAUCGGAACGUGCCCGAUCGUGGGGGAUAACGCAGCGAAAGCUGCGCUAAUACCGCAUACGAUCUGAGGAUGAAAGCGGGGGCCCGUAAGGCCUCGCGCGAUCGGAGCGGCUGAUGUCAGAUUAGGUAGUUGGUGGGGUAGAGGCCCACCAAGCCGACGAUCUGUAGCAGGUCGGAGAGGACGACCAGCCACACUGGGACUGAGACACGGCCCAGACUCCUACGGGAGGCAGCAGUGGGGAAUUUUGGACAAUGGGCGCAAGCCUGAUCCAGCAAUGCCGCGUGCAGGAUGAAGGCCUUCGGGUUGUAAACUGCUUUUGUACGGAACGAAACGGCCCUUUCUAAUACAGGGGGCUAAUGACGGUACCGUAAGAAUAAGCACCGGCUAACUACGUGCCAGCAGCCGCGGUAA